GAAGCGGCAACAGCUCAAAUUUGAAAUCUGGCCCCCCGGGUCCGAGUUGUAAUUUGUAGAGGAUGCUUUUGGCGAGGUGCCUUCCGAGUUCCCUGGAACGGGACGCCAUAGAGGGUGAGAGCCCCGUCUGGUCGGACACCGAGCCUCUGUAAAGCUCCUUCGACGAGUCGAGUAGUUUGGGAAUGCUGCUCAAAAUGGGAGGUAUAUGUCUUCUAAAGCUAAAUAUUGGCCAGAGACCGAUAGCGCACAAGUAGAGUGAUCGAAAGAUGAAAAGCACUUUGAAAAGAGGGUUAAAAAGUACGUGAAAUUGUUGAAAGGGAAGCGCCUAUGACCAGACUUGGGCCCGGUGAAUCAUCCAGCGUUCUCGCUGGUGCACUUUGCCGGGCACAGGCCAGCAUCAGUUUGGCGCGGGGGAUAAAGGCUUUGGGAAUGUGGCUCCCUCGGGAGUGUUAUAGCCCACUGCGCAAUACCCUGCGCCGGACUGAGGUACGCGCAUCGCAAGGAUGCUGGCGUAAUGGUCAUUAGCGACCCGUCUUGAAACACGGACCAAGGAGUCGUCUUCGUAUGCGAGUGUUCGGGUGUCAAACCCCUACGCGUAAUGAAAGUGAACGCAGGUGAGAGCUUCGGCGCAUCAUCGACCGAUCCUGAUGUUCUCGGAUGGAUUUGAGUAAGAGCAUACGGGGCCGGACCCGAAAGAAGGUGAACUAUGCCUGUAUAGGGUGAAGCCAGAGGAAACUCUGGUGGAGGCUCGCAGCGGUUCUGACGUGCGAAUCGAU
This 776-nucleotide ribosomal RNA is filed under the name uncultured Lecanicillium. RNAcentral describes it as "LSU rRNA". It matches the Rfam family "Eukaryotic large subunit ribosomal RNA", at positions 95 to 902 of the family's 3401-position model. The record is from RNAcentral. Lineage: Eukaryota; Fungi; Ascomycota; Sordariomycetes; Hypocreales; Cordycipitaceae.